CCCAAUGGACGUAGUCCACUAAGCCCAAGCAAGCCUAUUAAUCUGACAUGUUCAUCAUUCCAUCAUAAACUACUAAGUCAUCUAUCAUAACUUAGAAUCAAAAUAAUAUUAAGCAUUGCCAAUUCAUACUGGCAUACCAAAAAGGUGUAUAUACAUUGUCUACACAUGUAUCUUAAUAAUUCACAUUAGUUUCGUCUAUACACAACAAAAGGAGACUCGAUGUCCAGCGGAGAGACUCGGACGAAUGUACAGCUACUGAAUGUCGAGACACCUACCAAAAGAUGGAUACAAGUCCACGAGGACACCUCGUCCUAGUUACCGACUGUUUGUUAAUCUGAAAACAUGAAGUUGAAAGCGGUGAGCAUAAACUCAGUGAGUGAACAAGAAGGGAACAAGCAUACCAUAAGGAAUGUUUAUCGAAAUCAUAAUGCACUCAUUUUCUCAAAAUAAUGCAAUUUGUUUUAGUUCUUAGUAGAACCCCUCAUGAGUAAAUCACUUAAAAGAUCCAUACUCAACUAUGGUACCAAAGAAUUAAAAAAUAUCGCAAAACCUACAAGUUAGCCAAAAUAGACAGAAAGUUUCUCGCUGUAGCGAACUUCAUUCUCGCUGCAGCGAGAACCAGGUCAAGUAAAGGCCCUCAAACCUAAGAGUUUCUCACUACAGCAAGAGUCAGAACAUCAAGGAAAAAGUCUCAUUUUUCUUUAAAACAAGCCAUCCUGCUAAAAUAACAAUAGCAACAUGUAACACAUGUAAACUCCCAAUUUCAACAAAUCAAAUGCUCACAUAUUUGCAUUUACAACCAUAUACCAUAUAUGUAUAUAUAUAUCAAUCAUCAUGUACACCCUCCCAUCAUCAUCAUCUCAUAUGCAAUGGAUUAUGUGCACUCCCACUCGCACAUAACCGAGUCAGCAACAGCUUAUGUGCACUCCUACUCGCACAUAGCCGGGUCAGCAAUGGCUUAUGUGCACUCCUACUCGCACAUAGCCGGGUCCACAUCAACAUGCAAAGAAACAUCCAAUGCAUAUCAUGCAUUUUAUCAUAUUAUGAUAACACAUAAACCAUUGUAUAGUACAUUUUCACAAUAUAAAAUCAUUUUACUAAAAGCUUGUUCCCAAGGUACAUUUUCUAAGACAAGUUCGAUAGAAUCUUUCAUAUUCCCCAAAACAAGUUUGAAAUGCAAGUCCACUCAUCGGUAUUCGUUGAGCCUUUAGCCGAUUCUUAAUUCCCCUAAUGAUCCAAUUGGGGUGAUGGGUCUUCGUUAGCACCUACUAUCAAAUUAACAUUUCCAUAAUGUCAAUUUACAUACUAUAAACCCUAAAAGCUAUCUUUUAGCUAGCUUUCAAUUGCCAUUUAAAUGGCCAUCCAUUUUCACUUUCCUAUCACUCCAAAGUGAAUUAACAAUCUCAACUACAAAAUAUUCACAAAUCAAAUCUCUAGUCAUUCUCAACACUUAAAACCCAAUACUAGUUUACUACUCACCUUGAUAGCUUUGUAACUUUGAACUUCUUUCCAAAAGCUCUCAAGCUAUUAAUAAAGCUUCCUCUUUCUCUCUCUAAAACACCUAACUAG
Molecule: long non-coding RNA, 1569 nt
Filed under: Theobroma cacao (cacao)
Lineage: Eukaryota; Viridiplantae; Streptophyta; Magnoliopsida; Malvales; Malvaceae
Description: long non-coding RNA (TCAC_LNC002253)
Source: RNAcentral